CAGCGGUGUUCGCCUGUUUGCGUAUCCGAUUUUAGUACCACGCGUUGACGGGCAAACACCGCUGUUCGCACGUAAAAUGGCCGCGGCCACGUGUAAAGUGCCGAAAUGGCGGCCAUCUAUAUUUUACACAGGGAAUUCGCCUGAAUCCAUCCGAAGGGUAGAAAUGAAAGCUAUAUGCCGAAUUCCAGCUGAGUUUGGUGAAUUAACUGUACAACAAAAGGUAGAAAUCCUGAUUAACGGAGUCAUUUCUUCACAUUCUCUAAUUAGAUCUAAUGGUCCUCGCACCCUUCUCCCAAACAACAACUCAAAAGGGGAAAAUCCUGUUGACUCCUGUGGUACUUCUCUAUAACCGAAGAGCAGAUGGAGUAGAAAUCGCUCCCAGUCCUUAUGGG
Molecule: non-coding RNA, 392 nt
Organism: Pelobates cultripes (western spadefoot toad)
Lineage: Eukaryota; Metazoa; Chordata; Amphibia; Anura; Pelobatidae
Source: the annotation of a GenBank genome assembly